CAACACAGUAGGAUGACUAAAGGACGUAACACUUCUGGACGGGAAUUAUAUGUUGAAGAAUUGUUUUGAAAUGUACAAUAACGAAGAUAUUGGCAUUCUCCUUGCACCAUCUUCUGCGAGCUGCAAAGGCUCUCCACCUAAAGUAUGACAAGGAAGCAGUAGACUCAUCAUUCACGAUGCUUAUUUUAUGUGCUUCCAAGGGAUGCGGCCAAAGGACGACCUGCGGAAUAUUUGUGCGCUCGAUCGGCGCCGCAAUCUCCCGAGCAAAGUUCACCUUUGCUGAAGAUCCAAGCGUAAGAAACUGAAGCAGCAGACGGCUUCAAGCCAUGAUCUGUGCGAAUCACCUUUAUGGGAGCUGCAAAAAAGAAUAAAAAGUGUAUCCCCAGUG
Molecule: long non-coding RNA, 388 nt
Organism: Rhipicephalus sanguineus (brown dog tick)
Lineage: Eukaryota; Metazoa; Arthropoda; Arachnida; Ixodida; Ixodidae
Exons: 2
Source: RefSeq, a predicted model, not a curated record